CAAUGGUGGGUUCAAUGAUGAUCGGCUUGGGUUUAGUCACUGCCAUGGUUGCAGCCUCUACUCAGAGAUGAAAUUUGAGAUCUUGGAUCAGAGAUGAUAGGCGUAGACCCAUACUUUAUUGAAACACUGAAACCAAAUUCUGAUAAGGUCGAUCUGGUUGAGGUUCUUCCCAUUUAACUUGGCGUGCAUCGUGACGGCCAUCCUUGCAUACAUAGAAACAGAGAGCGAGUUAACUCAGAGUAGUGGAAUGGAGAUUGGUUUUGACUUGAAAACUCAAUGUUUACUUU
This 287-nucleotide long non-coding RNA is filed under the name Rosa chinensis. Its description in RNAcentral is "sRNA RchiOBHm_Chr6g0297051". Lineage: Eukaryota; Viridiplantae; Streptophyta; Magnoliopsida; Rosales; Rosaceae. The record is from RNAcentral.